Molecule: ribosomal RNA, 401 nt
Filed under: uncultured bacterium
Lineage: Bacteria
Description: bacterial SSU rRNA
Rfam family: Bacterial small subunit ribosomal RNA
Source: RNAcentral
UCUUCGGCAAUGGGGGGAACCCUGACCGAGCAACGCCGCGUGAGUGAAGAAGGUUUUCGGAUCGUAAAGCUCUGUUGUAAGAGAAGAACGUGUGUGAGAGUGGAAAGUUCACACAGUGACGGUAACUUACCAGAAAGGGACGGCUAACUACGUGCCAGCAGCCGCGGUAAUACGUAGGUCCCGAGCGUUGUCCGGAUUUAUUGGGCGUAAAGCGAGCGCAGGCGGUUUGAUAAGUCUGAAGUAAAAGGCUGUGGCUUAACCAUAGUAUGCUUUGGAAACUGUCAAACUUGAGUGCAGAAGGGGAGAGUGGAAUUCCAUGUGUAGCGGUGAAAUGCGUAGAUAUAUGGAGGAACACCGGUGGCGAAAGCGGCUCUCUGGUCUGUAACUGACGCUAGCUCGAA